AUACGGAGGGUGCAAGCGUUAAUCGGAAUCACUGGGCGUAAAGCGCACGUAGGCGGUCUGGUGUGUCAGGUGUGAAAUCCCCCGGCUUAACCGUGGAAUUGCACUUGAAACUACCGGACUUGAGUAUCGGAGAGGGUGGCGGAAUUCCAGGUGUAGGAGUGAAAUCCGUAGAUAUCUGGAGGAACACCAGUGGCGAAGGCGGCCACCUGGACGACUACUGACGCUGAGGUGCGAAAGCCAGGGGAGC
RNAcentral lists this ribosomal RNA (247 nucleotides) under uncultured bacterium. RNAcentral's name for it is "partial 16S ribosomal RNA". It matches the Rfam family "Bacterial small subunit ribosomal RNA", at positions 523 to 769 of the family's 1533-position model. The record is from RNAcentral.